Anthonomus grandis grandis is the source of this 1232-nucleotide long non-coding RNA. RefSeq lists it as uncharacterized. The transcript is spliced from 2 exons. NCBI's taxonomy places the organism in Eukaryota, Metazoa, Arthropoda, Insecta, Coleoptera, Curculionidae. The record is from RefSeq and is a predicted model, not a curated record.
UUCUGGGAUCUAGGUAUGCCAAGAAGGAUUUUCUGGAAAAUCAAAUUUGAAACUGAUUGAAAAACAGCCUAUGGAACUCUUAUGGGUUGUGAUCUAAAUUGUAUUUGCUACCAGCACAAGAUCUUUGGUUACUGCAAUUUGUACCUGUCACCACGGUUGACAUUAUAACAGUGACAGACGUUUUAUAAGGUGAAAAUUUUAUUAUUAUUUUUUUAAAAUCAAAUCUGGGCCGACCUGUAGUGCACAAACAGGAAGCGUGAAAAGUUUAAUGAAAAUAUGCGAACGAACGUUUAUUGUUCAAGUUCAUCCGAUUUAAAUUUAGAUCGGCGCAGCAUUUUCAUUGAUAAAUUCGCGGCGUAUAUUGUUCUAAAUUUCGUUUGAUUUUUUCUUAGAAUUGCUUGGGGAUAUUUCGGGGAAAAAUUUGGUGGGAAGCUCCUACUCUAAAUAUUUUUCAGGAUUUCUGAAUUCCAUAGAGUGUAGGUAACUUGUAGAAUUAAUUAUGGCAACAAAUUGGGAUUUUCGGAGAUUAUUGAACUUUUUUAAAAUUUCUUAUGUAAACAUUGUGGAAAGGGAAGAACGUGGAUUUAAGGAAAAUGGGUAUAUGUAAGAAAGACUAUGGAAAUAUCUAUGAGUUACAUAAAGAAGCUGAAACAUGGUUUAAACUUUCAUGGAUUCAGACAUUUUUAUGGCAUGUAAUUUACACCUAUCAGAUCAACAAAAAUCACUUUUUAUUAGCAGUAUUAAAUACCUGGAUUAAAAUUGAAAAUUCCCUUAAAGUCUAGGGAGUAUAAGAAAACUCCUGGGAGACAUAAAAAUUACGUCAAAUAUGCCUGGAAGUCAUCGAAAAUUACUCUAAAAGCCUGGAAAACAUAGAAAAUUAAGCAGAAUCAGGCAUAAAUAAAAAAGUGACUUUACAUGAAUGAGCAGGAAAUUGUGUUAAAUUCAUGGAAGAUAACAGUGCAAUAGCAGAGUUAAUAAUGCUGGUUCUACUGGAAAGCGGGGUCGUCCAAGUUUUUCAAUGCAAGAUGUUAGAACAGAUAGAUAUGAUCAUCUUCCAUUGUAGUGUAAUGAGAGGCAAAGAUGCAAAUAUCUCUGUGGCGCAAAAAGCUUCAUAAAAUGCGAGAAAUGUAGGGUUUUUCUCUGUUUAAACAAAGAUAGGAACUGUAUUUACAAGUUUUACACUGAAUAAAUUUUAUUAUAAAAUAAUAAAGGUAUUUUUUACAAUUUUUAAA